This 253-nucleotide ribosomal RNA is filed under the name uncultured bacterium. RNAcentral describes it as "partial 16S ribosomal RNA". It matches the Rfam family "Bacterial small subunit ribosomal RNA", at positions 524 to 776 of the family's 1533-position model. The record is from RNAcentral.
UACGUAGGGUGCAAGCGUUGUCCGGAAUUAUUGGGCGUAAAGAGCUCGUAGACGGUCUGUCGCGUCUGCUGUGAAAACUCAGGGCUUAACCCUGAGCUUGCAGUGGGUACGGGCAGACUAGAGUGCGGUAGGGGAGACUGGAAUUCCUGGUGUAGCGGUGAAAUGCGCAGAUAUCAGGAGGAACACCGGUGGCGAAGGCGGGUCUCUGGGCCGUAACUGACGCUGAGGAGCGAAAGCGUGGGGAGCGAACAGG